Long non-coding RNA from Anser brachyrhynchus (Pink-footed goose), 2560 nucleotides. The record is from Ensembl. NCBI's taxonomy places the organism in Eukaryota, Metazoa, Chordata, Aves, Anseriformes, Anatidae.
GCCGGCCUCCCCUUUCCUUCUGCUCCCAUCUCAAAGCAGCUCCCACUUUUUUGUGUGAAGGGGGAGACAGUGCUGAGAUGCAGCAGGGCUCCCAGCCCAGUGCCCACCCUGUGGUCUUGCUGCCGCCUGAAGAAGCUGUCUCUGGACCCCUGGUGCUGUGCUACUCCUGGAAGAGAAGGCUGUGCCCCAGCUUGUGUUAAGAAGAGAGGGGCAAGCGGUGUCUGCAACCUGUCUUCUUUCCAUGGGCACAGAGGGGACCAGCUCUCUGGAGAAGGAAAUGCUCACAGCCCCCCGCUUGGCUGGGGUGCUCUGCCCAAAGGGAGGGCUCGUCCUCCUCUCUCCCUUUCAGAACUUGAAGGCUGCUCCAUUUACAUCAGCAGUAUCCAAGCCAUGAUUCUUGUUCCAGAAGGGAGUGUAAGCAGUCACAGAUUUACAGAAUUACAGAUGUAUUCCUUAUACCAUCAGAAAACAAGGUCUACUAUUCUUGAGAUGCAACGCACUGGCAUUGGUUCAACAACUAACACCUCUUCAAAGAGAGCAGUCACUAAAAUCAGCUCAUUAUUCAAGUGCAAGGGAAAAAGACAAGACAGAAAUUGGACGAUGGGGAUUUUUAAGGGUCAUCAGAAACACCAUCUCACAAGUCACCUUCAUUAGGUUAAGGAUCCAAAGGACAACUAAGCACAGUGUGGAAGUACAUGGGGGCUGGGAGUCACUACCUCUUGCAGAAGCCAGAUGUGAUCCAUCAGGUGCCUAGUGGUGCUUGGCUUUUUUGUGUGACAGUGGCUUGCACCCAGUGGUGGCUCCAUGGCUCCCAGCAGGAGGGAGCUCUGUGUCCCUUCUUGGGAGGACCAUCCAAAAGGGCUCCAAUAGGCUUUGUUGAAGGUUGCUGCUUUGCCUAGAGUGCCUGGUAUGAAGGUUGGCAGAUGAACAGGGUUCUUGCUUCAGAGCUCAGGUUUUAACUUCCAUGGCUAAACUCCCCCUAAGCCUCAUGUUAGAGGCCUGGAUGCUCUUUGAGUCUGACCCAUGCCUCUCCCUUCCUUAAGCUGGCAGGUAAUGUGGCAUUUCAAGGGCAAGGAGUAUUACACUUUUCCAGAAUGAACACUGACACAAACAUCCAGAUUUCUUGUGUGAGUGGAGUACAUGAAAUAUAACUCUUAAAAUGUUAAUAGUACCAGUACAAACCAAAGCCACGUUAUCAUUACUGCUGUCAUGACUGCAGUCUCCCCCUUUGGCUGCACUGGGACUGCUGGCAGGAUCACGGCCUUGAUACAGAUCGCUGUUGCUUUUGUGAGGAAACAAGUGGCACCAAAUCUUCCUUUUUCUACCAUAACUAUUGAAUUUAAGGAACAGUAAAUUGCAUUUGCUCAAAACUGCAGUAAAUAUCUACCUUGGCAGGGGGUGGAAAGCAGGGAAGAACUCCAAAUAUGUAAAUCAGAAUCCUUCCUUCUUGUCUUUCCCAGGGCAAGGCACCCAUAAAAACUAAAAAAAUCAGUGUAAAGACAUUGCUGAAUGGGGUGGCACUCUCUGCUUAUCAGACAACUGGAAAAAGAGUAGAACAACUGAAUGAAGUUGUUUUACAUUGAUUAAGGGAAAAUAUAUUGAGACUAAUUCUGUAAUAACUGUUUAAAAAACACAUUUUUAAAAAAGAUUUUGUUACUAAGAGGUAAAAUACAGUUGUCACCUUUUCAGUAUAUUAUAUAUGAAGAAAUUGGUGUGUCCUGUACCAAUUUUAUCACUGGCACAAUAACGACCUCAGGCUUUAAGAGUCUGCCAUAUCAUUCAAAGCAUAGUUGAACAUUUGACACAUUUCUUAUAAGUAAGGCUUUUUUUCCUCUGCCCUUUGUGAUAUAUGUGAGGAUAUAAAACACUUUAAUAACAUGAGGUCCAUGUAGACAAACACUGUAUUUUUUAGGGGCAGACCAGAUUAAAAAAGGAUUAAACAUUCACAUAUAUCAUGUUAGAUAAUGGAUUUAUCAGGUGUGUUUGAUGGCAUAUGCCAGCCAGUAGCUGCCUACAGUCAGGAAGAAAUUUCAUAUGUGAUAGUCUGUUACAUCUCAAUAGUAUGUGUGAUGCCUUAUACUUCUGAGCUGUGAGGUUCUGGCUACUGCUAGGAUACUUCAUGAGGAGCUACUUGAUCUGGUGAGCACAGCAUAUCUUUAAUAUUUUUUAUAUCCUUAAUAACAGUAUUGUUUCAGGAGUUUACAGAGAAAUCUUUUUUAGCAGUAGUGUUACCAAAGAUCUAAACAGUGUUGUUAUCCCUACUAGUUUUUUAUCCUGUUUUGUGUUUGUGUGUGCAUGUUUGUCUCUGCUUCCCAUUACUAUCAAUCUCAUACUGAAGUACACACAAUGAUAGCGUCAAGACUGUUUGCGCUUUCCUGUAUGGAUGUGCUAAAUAGGUACUGAAGAGCAGUGCUUGUGCAAGUGGUUCUCAUGUAUGGUCUCAUUAGGUGGCAUCUGGGGUGAUGCAGUCUCCAGAUGCUAAUCCCUUGCUUUUAAAAGAAAGAUGAGUAUUAUGGAUUGGCAAAAUAAAAGCUGUCCUGAGUGAGACGGUGGGAUCUAG